This 73-nucleotide ribosomal RNA is filed under the name Faecalimonas umbilicata. Its description in RNAcentral is "partial 23S ribosomal RNA". The record is from RNAcentral. Lineage: Bacteria; Bacillati; Bacillota; Clostridia; Lachnospirales; Lachnospiraceae.
GGUAGAUAGGACAGAGGUGGAAGUGCAGUAAUGUAUGGAGCUGACUGUUACUAAUCGGUCGAGGGCAUAACCA